RNAcentral lists this ribosomal RNA (465 nucleotides) under uncultured bacterium. RNAcentral describes it as "partial 16S ribosomal RNA". It matches the Rfam family "Bacterial small subunit ribosomal RNA", at positions 28 to 506 of the family's 1533-position model. The record is from RNAcentral.
GAUGAACGCUGGCGGCGUGCUUAACACAUGCAAGUCGAACGGAAAGGCUCCUGCUUGCAGGGGUACUCGAGUGGCGAACGGGUGAGUAACACGUGGGUGAUCUGCCCUGCACUUCGGGAUAAGCCUGGGAAACUGGGUCUAAUACCGGAUAGGACGAUGGUUUGGAUGCCAUUGUGGAAAGUUUUUUCGGUGUGGGAUGAGCUCGCGGCCUAUCAGCUUGUUGGUGGGGUAAUGGCCUACCAAGGCGUCGACGGGUAGCCGGCCUGAGAGGGUGUACGGCCACAUUGGGACUGAGAUACGGCCCAGACUCCUACGGGAGGCAGCAGUGGGGAAUAUUGCACAAUGGGCGCAAGCCUGAUGCAGCGACGCCGCGUGGGGGAUGACGGCCUUCGGGUGGUAAACUCCUUUCGCUAGGGACGAAGCGCAAGUGACGGUACCUGGAGAAGAAGCACCGGCUAACUACGU